Molecule: ribosomal RNA, 254 nt
Filed under: uncultured bacterium
Lineage: Bacteria
Description: partial 16S ribosomal RNA
Rfam family: Bacterial small subunit ribosomal RNA
Source: RNAcentral
UACGGGGGGAGCAAGCGUUGUUCGGAUUUACUGGGCGUAAAGGGCGCGUAGGCGGUCGUGUCAGUUCACUUGUGAAAUCUCCGGGCUUAACUCGGAACUGCCAAGUGAUACUGUCGGACUAGAGUACAGAAGGGGCAACUGGAAUUCUCGGUGUAGCGGUGAAAUGCGUAGAUAUCGAGAGGAACACCUGCGGCGAAGGCGGGUUGCUGGGCUGAUACUGACGCUGAGGCGCGAAAGCGUGGGGAGCAAACAGG